RNAcentral lists this ribosomal RNA (433 nucleotides) under uncultured bacterium. RNAcentral describes it as "partial 16S ribosomal RNA". It matches the Rfam family "Bacterial small subunit ribosomal RNA", at positions 29 to 507 of the family's 1533-position model. The record is from RNAcentral.
AGCGAACGCUGGCGGCAGGCCUAACACAUGCAAGUCGAACGAACUCUUCGGAGUUAGUGGCGGACGGGUGAGUAACACGUGGGAACGUGCCUUUUUGUUCGGAAUAACUCAGGGAAACUUGUGCUAAUACCGAAUGUGCCCUUCGGGGGAAAGAUUUAUCGCCAUUAGAGCGGCCCGCGUCUGAUUAGCUAGUUGGUGAGGUAACGGCUCACCAAGGCGACGAUCAGUAGCUGGUCUGAGAGGAUGACCAGCCACACUGGGACUGAGACACGGCCCAGACUCCUACGGGAGGCAGCAGUGGGGAAUCUUGCGCAAUGGGCGAAAGCCUGACGCAGCCAUGCCGCGUGAAUGAUGAAAGUCUUAGGAUUGUAAAAUUCUUUCACCGGGGACGAUAAUGACGGUACCCGGAGAAGAAGCCCCGGCUAACUUCGUG